GGGUUGUGAGGUUAAGCGACUAAGCGUACACGGUGGAUGCCCUGGCAGUCAGAGGCGAUGAAGGACGUGCUAAUCUGCGAUAAGCGUCGGUAAGGUGAUAUGAACCGUUAUAACCGGCGAUUUCCGAAUGGGGAAACCCAGUGUGUUUCGACACACUAUCAUUAACUGAAUCCAUAGGUUAAUGAGGCGAACCGGGGGAACUGAAACAUCUAAGUACCCCGAGGAAAAGAAAUCAACCGAGAUUCCCCCAGUAGCGGCGAGCGAACGGGGAGCAGCCCAGAGCCUGAAUCAGUGUGUGUGUUAGUGGAAGCGUCUGGAAAGGCGCGCGAUACAGGGUGACAGCCCCGUACACAAAAAUGCACAUGCUGUGAGCUCGAUGAGUAGGGCGGGACACGUGGUAUCCUGUCUGAAUAUGGGGGGACCAUCCUCCAAGGCUAAAUACUCCUGACUGACCGAUAGUGAACCAGUACCGUGAGGGAAAGGCGAAAAGAACCCCGGCGAGGGGAGUGAAAAAGAACCUGAAACCGUGUACGUACAAGCAGUGGGAGCACAGAGCAAUCUGUGUGACUGCGUACCUUUUGUAUAAUGGGUCAGCGACUUAUAUUCUGUAGCAAGGUUAACCGAAUAGGGGAGCCGAAGGGAAACCGAGUCUUAACUGGGCGUUAAGUUGCAGGGUAUAGACCCGAAACCCGGUGAUCUAGCCAUGGGCAGGUUGAAGGUUGGGUAACACUAACUGGAGGACCGAACCGACUAAUGUUGAAAAAUUAGCGGAUGACUUGUGGCUGGGGGUGAAAGGCCAAUCAAACCGGGAGAUAGCUGGUUCUCCCCGAAAGCUAUUUAGGUAGCGCCUCGUGAAUUCAUCUCCGGGGGUAGAGCACUGUUUCGGCAAGGGGGUCAUCCCGACUUACCAACCCGAUGCAAACUGCGAAUACCGGAGAAUGUUAUCACGGGAGACACACGGCGGGUGCUAACGUCCGUCGUGAAGAGGGAAACAACCCAGACCGCCAGCUAAGGUCCCAAAGUCAUGGUUAAGUGGGAAACGAUGUGGGAAGGCCCAGACAGCCAGGAUGUUGGCUUAGAAGCAGCCAUCAUUUAAAGAAAGCGUAAUAGCUCACUGGUCGAGUCGGCCUGCGCGGAAGAUGUAACGGGGCUAAACCAUGCACCGAAGCUGCGGCAGCGACGCUUAUGCGUUGUUGGGUAGGGGAGCGUUCUGUAAGCCUGCGAAGGUGUGCUGUGAGGCAUGCUGGAGGUAUCAGAAGUGCGAAUGCUGACAUAAGUAACGAUAAAGCGGGUGAAAAGCCCGCUCGCCGGAAGACCAAGGGUUCCUGUCCAACGUUAAUCGGGGCAGGGUGAGUCGACCCCUAAGGCGAGGCCGAAAGGCGUAGUCGAUGGGAAACAGGUUAAUAUUCCUGUACUUGGUGUUACUGCGAAGGGGGGACGGAGAAGGCUAUGUUGGCCGGGCGACGGUUGUCCCGGUUUAAGCGUGUAGGCUGGUUUUCCAGGCAAAUCCGGAAAAUCAAGGCUGAGGCGUGAUGACGAGGCACUACGGUGCUGAAGCAACAAAUGCCCUGCUUCCAGGAAAAGCCUCUAAGCAUCAGGUAACAUCAAAUCGUACCCCAAACCGACACAGGUGGUCAGGUAGAGAAUACCAAGGCGCUUGAGAGAACUCGGGUGAAGGAACUAGGCAAAAUGGUGCCGUAACUUCGGGAGAAGGCACGCUGAUAUGUAGGUGAAGUCCCUCGCGGAUGGAGCUGAAAUCAGUCGAAGAUACCAGCUGGCUGCAACUGUUUAUUAAAAACACAGCACUGUGCAAACACGAAAGUGGACGUAUACGGUGUGACGCCUGCCCGGUGCCGGAAGGUUAAUUGAUGGGGUUAGCGCAAGCGAAGCUCUUGAUCGAAGCCCCGGUAAACGGCGGCCGUAACUAUAACGGUCCUAAGGUAGCGAAAUUCCUUGUCGGGUAAGUUCCGACCUGCACGAAUGGCGUAAUGAUGGCCAGGCUGUCUCCACCCGAGACUCAGUGAAAUUGAACUCGCUGUGAAGAUGCAGUGUACCCGCGGCAAGACGGAAAGACCCCGUGAACCUUUACUAUAGCUUGACACUGAACAUUGAGCCUUGAUGUGUAGGAUAGGUGGGAGGCUUUGAAGUGUGGACGCCAGUCUGCAUGGAGCCGACCUUGAAAUACCACCCUUUAAUGUUUGAUGUUCUAACGUGGACCCGUAAUCCGGGUUGCGGACAGUGUCUGGUGGGUAGUUUGACUGGGGCGGUCUCCUCCUAAAGAGUAACGGAGGAGCACGAAGGUUGGCUAAUCCUGGUCGGACAUCAGGAGGUUAGUGCAAUGGCAUAAGCCAGCUUGACUGCGAGCGUGACGGCGCGAGCAGGUGCGAAAGCAGGUCAUAGUGAUCCGGUGGUUCUGAAUGGAAGGGCCAUCGCUCAACGGAUAAAAGGUACUCCGGGGAUAACAGGCUGAUACCGCCCAAGAGUUCAUAUCGACGGCGGUGUUUGGCACCUCGAUGUCGGCUCAUCACAUCCUGGGGCUGAAGUAGGUCCCAAGGGUAUGGCUGUUCGCCAUUUAAAGUGGUACGCGAGCUGGGUUUAGAACGUCGUGAGACAGUUCGGUCCCUAUCUGCCGUGGGCGCUGGAGAACUGAGGGGGGCUGCUCCUAGUACGAGAGGACCGGAGUGGACGCAUCACUGGUGUUCGGGUUGUCAUGCCAAUGGCACUGCCCGGUAGCUAAAUGCGGAAGAGAUAAGUGCUGAAAGCAUCUAAGCACGAAACUUGCCCCGAGAUGAGUUCUCCCUGACUCCUUGAGAGUCCUGAAGGAACGUUGAAGACGACGACGUUGAUAGGCCGGGUGUGUAAGCGCAGCGAUGCGUUGAGCUAACCGGUACUAAUGAACCGUGAGGCUUAACCUUACAACGCCGAAGGUGUUU
This 2933-nucleotide ribosomal RNA is filed under the name Escherichia coli. RNAcentral's name for it is "23S ribosomal RNA". It matches the Rfam family "Bacterial large subunit ribosomal RNA". The record is from RNAcentral. Lineage: Bacteria; Pseudomonadati; Pseudomonadota; Gammaproteobacteria; Enterobacterales; Enterobacteriaceae.